Molecule: ribosomal RNA, 525 nt
Filed under: uncultured fungus
Lineage: Eukaryota; Fungi
Description: eukaryotic LSU rRNA
Rfam family: 5.8S ribosomal RNA (bases 189-342)
Source: RNAcentral
AAGUCGUAACAAGGUUUCCGUAGGUGAACCUGCGGAAGGAUCAUUACUAGUUUAGGGUAUUCUGUGCCCAAACUUCAACCCUAUGAUUUACCAACUUGUUUCUUUGCCGGCGUCAAGCCGGCAAAAGGAUUCUCAAACUCAUUGAUGAAAAAUUGCAAUCUGAAAAUUUGAUCAAAAAUCAAAAGCAAAACUUUCAACAACGGAUCUCUUGGUUCUGGCAUCGAUGAAGAACGCAGCGAAAUGCGAUAAGUAAUGUGAAUUGCAGAAUUCAGUGAAUCAUCGAAUUUUUGAACGCAUAUUGCGCCCUUUGGCAUUCCGAAGGGCAUGCCUGUUCGAGCGUCAUUGCAACUCUCAAACCCAGGUUUGAUGUUGGGCCUUGUCGUCAAGACAUGCCUUAAAUUUAGUGAUGGUAACCUCUCUCCACAGGCGCACAGAUGCUGCCGUGAUGGUGUUUGCAGGUGGCCACUCAACCCCAAAAUUCUGAAUGUUGACCUCGGAUCAGGUAGGGAUACCCGCUGAACUUAA